This 456-nucleotide ribosomal RNA is filed under the name uncultured bacterium. RNAcentral describes it as "SSU rRNA". It matches the Rfam family "Bacterial small subunit ribosomal RNA", at positions 26 to 518 of the family's 1533-position model. The record is from RNAcentral.
AGAACGAACGCUGGCGGCAUGCCUAACACAUGCAAGUCGAACGUGAUCCAGGCUUCGGCCUGGUGAAAGUGGCAGACGGGUGAGUAACGCGUGGGAACCUGCCCUGUGGUAGGGAAUAACCGUGGGAAACUGCGGCUAAUACCCUAUGAGUCCUUCGGGAGAAAGAUUUAUCGCCAUAGGAGGGGCCCGCGUCGGAUUAGGUAGUUGGUGGGGUAACGGCCUACCAAGCCUUCGAUCCGUAGCUGGUCUGAGAGGAUGAUCAGCCACACUGGGACUGAGAUACGGCCCAGACUCCUACGGGAGGCAGCAGUGGGGAAUAUUGGACAAUGGGGGCAACCCUGAUCCAGCAAUGCCGCGUGGAUGAUGAAGGCCUUCGGGUUGUAAAGUCCGUUUCGGCGGGGAAGAGUGAUGACGGUACCGCAGAAGAAGCCCCGGCUAACUCGUGCCAGCAGCCGC